Molecule: unclassified non-coding RNA, 382 nt
Filed under: uncultured Actinomycetes bacterium
Lineage: Bacteria; Bacillati; Actinomycetota; Actinomycetes
Description: uncultured actinobacterium contains 16S-23S intergenic spacer region
Source: RNAcentral
UCCGAUUUGUCACCGGCAGUCUCCCAUGAGUCCCCGGCAUUACCCGCUGGCAACUAAGAGCAGGGGUUGCGCUCGUUGCGGCACUUAAGCCAACACCUCACGACACGAGCUGACGACAGCCAUGCAGCAUCUGUGCACGCUCCCUUGCGGGUCGUCACCCUUUCAGGCUCCUACCACGUGCAUGUCAAGCCCAGGUAAGGUUCUUCGCGUUGCAUCGAAUUAAGCCACAUGCUCCGCCGCUUGUGCGGGCCCCCGUCAAUUCCUUUGAGUUUUAGCCUUGCGGCCGUACUCCCCAGGCGGGGUGCUUAAUGCGUUAGCUUCGGCACGGAACGGGUUGAAGACCGCCCCACACCUAGCACCCAACGUUUACGGCUGGGACUAC